Molecule: ribosomal RNA, 617 nt
Filed under: uncultured bacterium
Lineage: Bacteria
Description: bacterial SSU rRNA
Rfam family: Bacterial small subunit ribosomal RNA (bases 1-519)
Source: RNAcentral
CCUACGGGAGGCAGCAGUGAGGAAUUUUCUGCAAUGGGCGAAAGCCUGACAGAGCAAUACCGCGUGAGGGAUGAAGGCCUACGGGUUGUAAACCUCUUUUCUCAAGGGGGAAGAUCUGACGUUACUUGAGGAAUAAGCAUCGGCUAACCCUGUGCCAGCAGCCGCGGUAAUACAGGGGAUGCAAGUGUUAUCCGGAAUUAUUGGGCGUAAAGCGUCUGCAGGUUGAUAUUUAAGUCUUUUGUUAAACCUCCGGGCUCAACCCGGAAUCUGCAAAGGAAACUAUAUGUCUUGAGUAUGGUAGGGGUAAAGGGAAUUUCCAGUGGAGCGGUGAAAUGCGUAGAUAUUGGAAAGAACACCAACAGCGAAGGCACUUUACUGGGCCAGUACUGGCACUCAGAGACGAAAGCUAGGGGAGCAAACAGGAUUAGAUACCCUGGUAGUCCUAGCUGUAAACGAUGGAUACUAGAUGUUGUGUACCUUUGGGUAUGUNAGUGUGUGUCUACGUACGUAGUAUCCGUCCGUCGGUAGGUAGUGUCGUCGCGAGAGUAGAACGUACGAAUAGUAAGUUAGUACGGUUCGUUGUAGACGUUGCCGACGGACGACGACGAGGGAGGAGG